AACUUACGUCUUUGCGCUAUCGAUGAAUCUGAUAUUGGUAUAACAUAGUACGGUGGGGUAAGGGCUUCGACUAAGGCGACGAUCCCUAGACUUGUCUGAGGAGGGAUGGAUCGGGACAACACCUGGACUGAGGACAGCGGCCCAGACUACAACGGGAUGCUAGCAGUGGGGGAAUAUUGCACAACGAGCGGCACGCCUUAUCGCAGCCAUGUUUCCGUCUAUGUAAGAAGGCCAUAUGGGUUGUAAAGUACUGUUCUGUAGGGCGGAUGGCGUUGAUGCUAAUAUCAUCAACGAUUGACGGUUACCGACAGAAGAAGCACGGGUUUAACUCUGUGCCAGCAGCCGCGCGUAAUACGGAGGGUGCAAGCGUUUAUUGGAAUUAAAGGGCGUAAAGCGCACGCAGGCGGUUGAUUAAGUUAGAUGUGAAAUCCCCGGGCUUUACCUGGGAAAGGCAUUUAAGACUGGUCAGCGAGAGUCUUGUAGAGGGGGGUAGAAUUCCAUGUGGAGCGGUGAAAUGCGUAGAGAUGCGGAGGAAUACCGGUGGCGAAGGCGGCCCCCUGGACAAAGAAUGACGCUCAGGUGCGAAAGCGUGGGGAGCAAACAGGAUUAGAUACCCUGGUUGUCCACGCUGUAAACGAUGUCGAUUUGAAGGUUGUUCCCCUGAGGAGUGGCUUUCGGAGCUAACGCGUUAAAUCGACCGCCUGGGGAGUACGGCCGCAAGGUUAAAACUCAAAUGAAUUGACGGGGGCCCGCACAAGCGGUGGAGCAUGUGGUUUAAUUUGGUGCAACGCGAAGAACCUUACCUACUCUUGACAUCCAGAGAACUUAGCAGAGAUGCUUUGGUGCCUUCGGGAACUUUGAGACCGGUGCUGCA
This 874-nucleotide ribosomal RNA is filed under the name Providencia vermicola. RNAcentral describes it as "bacterial SSU rRNA". It matches the Rfam family "Bacterial small subunit ribosomal RNA", at positions 1 to 1045 of the family's 1533-position model. Lineage: Bacteria; Pseudomonadati; Pseudomonadota; Gammaproteobacteria; Enterobacterales; Morganellaceae. The record is from RNAcentral.